UCCCCUCCUAGCACAGAGUUCUGCUGGUGGGGCUGCAGCUGCUAAAACCAGCCCUGGGUCUAACUGUGACACAGAGCAGGCUUGUGCCUAAAGCGCCUGAGCAGCUUUGUGCUUUGAACUGCACCGAGACCAUGGGAGUUCCAUGCAUAAAAUGGAUGGAGCAUUAGGCUCCUUACCAAGGAGUACACAGAGAAGCAAAAAAGAAAAGGAUGCCUACCUGCUGAAAUCUAAAGAGACAGCCUGGACCUAAUGAACUUGGAAUAGAAAACUGAACUACACCUCUGCUCCGAUACAACACGACCCAAUAUAACAUGCUGCAAAUGUUUCAACGCUCCCCGUAUCAUCUCCGUCCCAGAGGCCAGCAAAGAUUAGAAGGCGAAAAAAAGUGCACUCGUGACGAAA
Long non-coding RNA from Gopherus flavomarginatus (Mexican gopher tortoise), 402 nucleotides. RefSeq lists it as uncharacterized. Lineage: Eukaryota; Metazoa; Chordata; Testudines; Testudinidae. The transcript is spliced from 3 exons. The record is from RefSeq and is a predicted model, not a curated record.